UACAGAGGGUGCGAGCGUUAAUCGGAAUUACUGGGCGUAAAGCGUGCGUAGACGGUUAUUUAAGUCGGGUGUGAAAGCCCCGGGCUCAACCUGGGAAUUGCAUUCGAGACUGAAUAGCUAGGGUACGGUAGAGGGAAGCGGAAUUUCCGGUGUAGAGGUGAAAUUCGUAGAUAUCGGGAGGAACACCAGUGGCGGAGGCGGCUCUCUGGACAGAUACUGACACUGAGAUGCGAAAGCGUGGGAAGCAAACAGG
RNAcentral lists this ribosomal RNA (253 nucleotides) under uncultured bacterium. RNAcentral's name for it is "partial 16S ribosomal RNA". It matches the Rfam family "Bacterial small subunit ribosomal RNA", at positions 524 to 776 of the family's 1533-position model. The record is from RNAcentral.